Patella vulgata (common limpet) is the source of this 751-nucleotide long non-coding RNA. RefSeq lists it as uncharacterized. The transcript is spliced from 5 exons. Lineage: Eukaryota; Metazoa; Mollusca; Gastropoda; Patellidae. The record is from RefSeq and is a predicted model, not a curated record.
GUUGCCUGGUUACCAUUUUCGAGACGACGCCAUACUUUUAUAUCACGCUAUACAGAAAUAUGCAUCUAAAUAUGUUGCUUUAUAUUACGAUACACCAGAGAAAAUAAAUGGUGAUUGGGAAUUACAGAAUUGGGGUAAAGAAUUAGCUUUAUCUAGAGAACAAGGUGGUGUAGGACUACUGGGAAUACCAAAUGACGGAACAUUUAAAACAAUAGAUGAUAUAAUAAAAGUAUUAACAUGUAUUGUAUAUACCUGUAGUGUUUCACAUGCGUCAACUAAUUUCCCUCAAUAUGAAGAAUACGCCUUUACUCCAAAUUAUCCUGGUAUGAUGCGAGGAAAACCACCAAACUCAAAGGACCCCGUAGAAGAAUGCCGGAUCUUGGCCAGUCUACCGGAUAAACCAACAACCCUAGAUAUUAUGGUCGUUACUAAAAUAUUAAGUGGUCGAGGUACCAAAAGUCUCGGUGAUUUUGAAGUUCAGUAUGUUUUUGAUCCGAAAGCCACGGGGAUCGUUGAUGAAUUUCGUUUGGAAUUACGACAAAUCAGUAAAACGAUCAAGGAAAGAAACCAAUCCAGAAACCCACCAUAUAUUUAUCUUGAUCCAGAGAUCGUCCCGAAUUCUAUUAGCAUUUAAAACUUAUCAUCUUCACAAACCAUUAUUUAAUAUAAUCAUCUUCAUUAACCAGCAUCAUUCUAAUUAAUUUAUUUACGAACUACAUGUAUAUUCAUUUAUAAUUCAUCUGCUCUAACC